Cucumis melo (muskmelon) is the source of this 2644-nucleotide long non-coding RNA. RefSeq lists it as uncharacterized. The transcript is spliced from 5 exons. Lineage: Eukaryota; Viridiplantae; Streptophyta; Magnoliopsida; Cucurbitales; Cucurbitaceae. The record is from RefSeq and is a predicted model, not a curated record.
UCAGAGUUUUUAAUUUCACACCUAGGGUUAAGCUCACGCCGCCUCUACCGUCUCUCUUACUCAAGCCCUCGUCUCAACCUCUCAUCUUACAAGUUACCGGAGUUCAAUCGAUCUCCCUUCUCAAUCUACAGUCUCUCUUCUUCUCCAAAAUCUCUCAAUCUCCAAUCGUCUCUCCUUCUUAGAAGUCUCCGAUCGUCGCUUAGGAGAUUCGGCCGUGUUUCAAUUUUUUCCAUCUCCUUCUUUCUUUCGUUAUCCGUGUUUCAAUUUUUUAGGUUUCAGAAGAAGAUAUGGGAGAACCAAUUUGCAUGACUUUGGUCGUUGCCGUCGGUAACAAAAUACUUCAGAAGAAGGGAACCGUCAUUUUCUUUUUCACAUUUUUUAGGUCAUUUAAUUUCAUCCGAUUCGUUUUUUAUUCUUCCUUGAGUUGUUUGAUCGCUAGUAGUAUAGUGUUUCUUUGAUUCUCAAUUUUUUGGAUUUCAUUAAGGAAGCAUGAGAGAUUGAAUUUGCUUUAUGAAUUGGGUUUGGAAGUUGGGAAAGCUAGCAAUUCCGAUGGAUUUAAAAGCCUUGAAACCCUACCUAGUUCAACUAUUGCCGCGACUGUCACUGAACCAUCUAGUUCCAAGUUACUAUUGCGUUUUUUCGCUGAUUUGUGUGCUUUGGUUAUCUCUCUUUGUAUUUUUCAAUUAUAAUGUUUGUUGGAUAUUAGAGCUCUGUUUGAGGAUGAGCCUCAUUCUGCCAAUGAUGCAUGUAGGAAACUCCAUUCUGAUGCUUUGCUCAUCAUUUAACACCAUGAGAAUAAGCUCUUGCUCGCGUAAAAAACAAUCCUAUGGCUAUGAUUUGCAAAACCGUAACUAGUUUUUAAUCUCCUUUUAUGGCUUUAACCCCACUAAACCUUACAAGAUUUAUUCUUAUAACAUGGGCUAUGGAAAUUUUAUGUGGAAACAUCUUUCUUCCUUUCAUUAUUUUGUAGAGAGAUUUUUUGAACUUUUCUCUUAGUUUGUUCAUGGACACUUUACUUGGUGGCCUAUCUAAAUACUAAGUUAUUCUUUUGAGCUGAUGUGAUGAAUUUCUCUGCAUUUCUCUUACUCUUUUGAUAGAAGCUAAAGAUGAAUCUUUGAUCAGAAAGUUUUUCUCUAUAUUAUUGCUGAGACAAUCUUGGCAUAGAGUAAAUGCUUAUCAACAUUAUUUAAUCUAUCAUUGAUUUUUGUUGUAGAGAUUAAAGUUAUCCAUAUCCAAAGUAGAUUAGAAGACAAGAAAGUAAUGGUCAUUUAGUAAAUAUUUUAGUCUGAAAUGGACAAGCUAAAGUAGGGAAUACAGUUAUAUUGAAGGAAGGUAGAUUUCAAUAAUGUAUUGAACAAAAACUGAGAAAUGAUAGAUUUCUAGGAUUUCUCAAGUUCAUAAUGGAUUUCUAGGAUUUUCUCCAACAAUUUUCAAUAAAUAAACCAUCAAAUCACCAACAAUUUUCUUUUGCAUUUUCUAACACUAACUCUGCUGAAAACAAGGAACCUGACCAAUCCCUUUACAUUUUUCUAUUACCCAUUUCUUCUCAAUUUUUAAGUAUAAAACUGCAUUCUAGGUGUUUGUAUAAAUGUUGCACUGGUGGAGUUUUGGGUUUUGGGUUUUGUUUCUUAUGUGCUUAUUGGUUGAGACUUUUUGUGUUUUUGGUUUGAUUUUGAUCUUUAAUUCUAAUGGUAAAUUGAUCUUAUAGUAUUGAAAGAUUUGGGGUAUUUAAUCUUAUAGUGUUGAAUAUAGUUGUGUUUAUUGAUACGUGAUUAUAUGUAGGUGUUGGAUGAUGUAUAUUUGUUGUAGUUCUAUAUGGAAGUGUUGAAAAUUGUAUGCUGGUAUUUUAAGUGUUGAUCUUGUGUGCAUUUCAGGUGAAAUAGAAAUAUAAGGUUUGCCACGAAGCGUAACAUUUACGAAAUUGUGCUUUCUUUGGUUUUUGGCUUUUGGUUUUUGCUUCGUCUUUGUGCAAUCUACUUGGCAGCUUGAAAGGUGGAAAUGACCAUAUAGAUAGAUGGUCAGACGAUCGUUGAAGGUUGAAGACUGAAAAGGCGUUUGGUCGUGGGAGACAAUGUCCAGAGAACACGCCAUGCGUUUUCCCUUUGUUGGGAGUGCAAUGCUAUUAUGCAAUGGAUGGGAAAAUGGAAGAGAUGAUUUUUAUGUAGAAGAUCAGGAAACUCAUUCCACUAUGCUAGAUAAACUACUGGCAUGGGAAAAGAAGUUAUAUGAUGAAGUGAAGUUUACAUGCUUCAGGAGCAGGAACCACAUGCGGCAGAGUUUGAGCGCACGUUUAUAGCCAUCAAGCCAGAUGGUGCACAGAGAGGGCUGGGAGCUAUCACUAAACAAAUGACUGCAAUAGAAGAAAUGGUUGCAAGUGAGUACAAUUAGCCAGACCCUCAUCUUUGUGACAAGAUCUUGAAGUUGGUCAUUUGUGAACCGUUCUAGUUUGCUAUUAGUUACAGUUUUAGUUAUUGCUCUCUCAAUAUAUUCUUUUUCUUUCUUUCUUUCUUUUUUUUUCCAAAGGAUGAUCAGUAUAAUAAUUAAGCUUCAUAAUUUCUUUGUUUUUGGAGCCAAGUUGUAUAUAAAUGUACACAUUAUUAAGAUUUCAUUUUGUAUAUGUACACGUAAAAGAUUUCAUUUUUAA